This 427-nucleotide ribosomal RNA is filed under the name uncultured prokaryote. RNAcentral's name for it is "bacterial SSU rRNA". It matches the Rfam family "Bacterial small subunit ribosomal RNA", at positions 355 to 774 of the family's 1533-position model. The record is from RNAcentral.
UGGGGAAUUUUGGACAAUGGGCGCAAGCCUGAUCCAGCAAUGCCGCGUGCAGGAAGAAGGCCUUCGGGUUGUAAACUGCUUUUGUACGGAACGAAAAGGUCUGGGUUAAUACCCUGGGCUCAUGACGGUACCGUAAGAAUAAGCACCGGCUAACUACGUGCCAGCAGCCGCGGUAAUACGUAGGGUGCAAGCGUUAAUCGGAAUUACUGGGCGUAACGCGUGCGCAGGCGGUUUUGUAAGACAGGCGUGAAAUCCCCGGGCUCAACCUGGGAAUGGCGCUUGUGACUGCAAAGCUGGAGUGCGGCAGAGGGGGAUGGAAUUCCGCGUGUAGCAGUGAAAUGCGUAGAUAUGCGGAGGAACACCAAUGGCGAAGGCAAUCCCCUGGGCCUGCACUGACGCUCAUGCACGAAAGCGUGGGGAGCAAACA